Molecule: RNA transcript, 2740 nt
Organism: Peromyscus californicus insignis
Lineage: Eukaryota; Metazoa; Chordata; Mammalia; Rodentia; Cricetidae
Gene: Ctf1
Gene name: cardiotrophin 1
Exons: 6
Source: RefSeq, a predicted model, not a curated record
CUCCCCUCCUCCCCUCCGGUAGGGGUGUGUUGAGGGAGACCGGGAUCGGCCUGGGGCCAACAUGAACCAAAGGGAGGGAAGUCUGGAAGACCCCCAGGCUGACUUCUCAAUCUCAUUCCUUCCGCAUUUGGAGGCCAAGAUCCGCCAGACACACAACCUUGCACGCCUCCUGGCCAAAUAUGCAGAGCAGCUGCUAGAGGAGUAUGUGCAGCAGCAGGGAGACCCCUUCGGGCUGCCGGGCUUCUCACCACCGCGGCUGGCACUGGCCGGCCUGAGUGGCCCGGCCCCGAGCCACGCGGGGCUACCGCUGUCCGAGCGGCUGCGUCUGGACGCGGCUGCCCUGGGUGCGCUGCCCGCGCUGUUGGAUGCUGUGCGCCGCCGCCAGGCGGAGCUGAACCCGCGCGCCCCGCGCCUGCUGCGGAGCCUGGAGGACGCGGCCCGCCAGGCUCGGGCUCUGGGAGCCGCGGUGGAGACGGUGCUGGCCGCUCUGGGCGCAGCCGCCCGCGGGCCGGGGUCGGAGCCCGCCGCCGCCGCCGCCGCCGCCCUCUCCCCGGCCAACAGCGCUGCGGGCGUCUUCUCGGCCAAGGUGCUGGGGCUCCACGUGUGCGGCCUCUAUGGCGAGUGGGUGAGCCGCACCGAGGGCGACCUGAGCCAGCUGGUGCCCGGGGGCGUCUCCUGAGGCCUCCUGAGUAAUGGGAUCGUGUUGAUUGUUUUCCAUCUGAAUAUGUGCUGACAAAUUAUCCUCUCCAAUCCCUGAUGCAGCUCUCGCUCCCAUCAGCAGAGUGAGGCUCACCCACCUGGGCAGGAGGAAGAAACUCACUGUCCGGCAUGAUGGAUUCCUGGGCUUCCAAAACGAUGGGGCUGGAGGGGACCUCGAAAAAAUAACUGCCGUCACAUGCCCCGUACCAGAACUGGUUACUUUCUUGAACACUUAACGCUAACUGCUGGGAGGUGACAUCCGUUCUCCACUGGAGAAUGAAAGCCUGAGACUACAUUUCCCUGCAAGCCCUUUAGAAAAGAAGGCCAGGAGGAAAUAGACUUUCCGUUUCCGUUCGCUUGCAAUUUGGCGUGUUCGCGGUGAUACAUAUUUCAACACUAGCAUCCUUUCUCUGUACAGCUAAAGAAGACACUACAUACCCCAGAAGGUACUGGCACCGAGGGCAAGCGACUAGGUUGCCAUCUCGACAGCAGUCCUUUCCUACUUAUCCUCAGAGAAUAGUCUUAGCCGUUGGACUACAAAUCCCAUAGCAUCGUCUGCUCUUUCACCCGCCAUCUUGGCGGUAGUCCCCGCCCCUCUCACUUCCAUUGUCUCCACAGAAGAUAAAAGAGGGGAGCGGGGAAGACUACAAUUCCCGGCCGGCUCUGCACCACUGAGUGCGGGAUUUUGAUAGUUCAGGCGGGCGAGGCGCUCCAAGUGCUAGAAUGAAGCGACCAGGCAAGGUUAGGUAGCCUGCCAUCUUUAUGGUAGUCUCUUUAUGCUCCUGGUUCUGGCAUUCUUAAGGAACACAGGAAAGCUAGAAAACUACUAUUCCCAUCCCACUUCAUAAGCUCGACUUAUUAGGUAUACGCCCCUCGUUCGCCAUCUUGCUUGUAGUCCUCGUUCCUUUUCACCUUUCCAUUGUUCCUGACGAGUAGAAAUGGCAGCGGGAAGGCAGCAGAUGGACUGCGACUCCCGUCAGGUACCACACACGCGGAGGGUUGUGGACCAGAGGGCGUGUGAGUGCCUGGAAAGGAGGUCGGGUCGGGGGAAAAGGCCAUCUUGUUUGUAGUCAUCGUUCCCGCUCCUUCUCUAUGUCCUGCUACGGGGAAUCUCGGGUCAACUGGACUAUAAUUCCCGCCAUGCUCGGCUCCCAGCGUGGCAUGCUUUUCGCCAUCUUAUUUGUAGUGCCGGCUGGCCCCAGCAUCCCAUUUUUCCCACGCUAGCGCCAGAAUUUGCAGGACUACAUCUCCCGUCGUGCUUUGCACGCGCUCGUCCUGGAAAGUAGAGGUGGUGGAAGAAGGAGGGAGAAGGGGGCGGGGUUCCUCUGGGAGAAGGAGGGAGUAAAAAGGAGGAGGAGGUGGGAAGGAGGGAGGGGAGAGGGAGGAGAGGAGGAAGGAGGAAGGAGCUGAGGAGGGAUGAGAGCGGCGACCAGGGCCCGGGGCCGAAGCAGCGCGAGGCUAGGGGUCUAGGGGUGCUGAGACACCCCAACUGCCCCCACCCCCUUCCUGCCUCUGCCCCAUCCUUUCCUUACACCCUCCCAUUUUAGGAGAGGAUUUAUUCAAAUUUUAUUUAAAUCCCCAUAUCUGGAGGGUCGCGCGUUUGAAGGGGGGAGGGCGGGGGCGCGCGCGCAAGCUGGGGGGGGCGGGGCCGGAGCAGCUUCCUUCACCCCCCUCUGCGCGCCCUGUCUCUGUAGGUCAGGGGGCCGCAGUACAGGGGCGGGCCCAGGGGAGGGGGGCAGGUUGCAGUGACCCCCCCCUCCCCGGGAACCGGCGGUGGGCGGGGUUUGAACCCCGGAAACGGUGGGGGGCCCCCGGGUCUGUCCCUGGACCCCUGGGCAGUUGGAGCUGGGAAGGGGCCAGUUAAGGGUCGGGGGCUUUGGGGAGAGGUGGGGGUGGGGAGCUGAGACUCGUACCCGGGACUGAGUGGGGCCCGGGCAGAAGCUGAGCACCCUGCGCCCGAGGAGCCCCCGUUGGCCUGGGGGGGCUGAGGGACUGAGCCCCCCAGAGCAGGACCUCCCCCUGGAAGGGCCGCGCCGCAGCC